GGUGGCUCAGUGAUAGAGUGCUUGCCUUGCAUGCAUGAAGCCCUGGGUUCAAUUCCUCAGUACCA
RNAcentral lists this transfer RNA (65 nucleotides) under Dipodomys ordii (Ord's kangaroo rat). It matches the Rfam family "tRNA". From Rfam's summary of the family: Transfer RNA (tRNA) molecules are approximately 80 nucleotides in length. Their secondary structure includes four short double-helical elements and three loops (D, anti-codon, and T loops). Lineage: Eukaryota; Metazoa; Chordata; Mammalia; Rodentia; Heteromyidae. The record is from Rfam by way of RNAcentral.